RNAcentral lists this ribosomal RNA (433 nucleotides) under uncultured bacterium. Its description in RNAcentral is "partial 16S ribosomal RNA". It matches the Rfam family "Bacterial small subunit ribosomal RNA", at positions 29 to 507 of the family's 1533-position model. The record is from RNAcentral.
AACGAACGCUGGCGGCAUGCCUAACACAUGCAAGUCGAACGAAGGCUUCGGCCUUAGUGGCGCACGGGUGCGUAACGCGUGGGAAUCUGCCCUUUGCUUCGGAAUAACAGUUAGAAAUGACUGCUAAUACCGGAUGAUGUCGCAAGACCAAAGAUUUAUCGGCAAAGGAUGAGCCCGCGUAGGAUUAGCUAGUUGGUGGGGUAAAGGCCUACCAAGGCGACGAUCCUUAGCUGGUCUGAGAGGGUGAUCAGCCACACUGGGACUGAGACACGGCCCAGACUCCUACGGGAGGCAGCAGUGGGGAAUAUUGGACAAUGGGCGAAAGCCUGAUCCAGCAAUGCCGCGUGAGUGAUGAAGGCCUUAGGGUUGUAAAGCUCUUUUACCCGGGAUGAUAAUGACAGUACCGGGAGAAUAAGCUCCGGCUAACUCCGUG